This 256-nucleotide ribosomal RNA is filed under the name uncultured bacterium. RNAcentral describes it as "partial 16S ribosomal RNA". It matches the Rfam family "Bacterial small subunit ribosomal RNA", at positions 524 to 778 of the family's 1533-position model. The record is from RNAcentral.
GACGGAGGAGGCUAGCGUUGUUCGGAAUUACUGGGCGUAAAGCGCAUGAAGGUGGUGAAGUAAGCCGGAUGUGAAAGCCCUGGGCUCAACCUGGGAACUGCAUCCAAAACUACUGAGCUAGAGUACGGUAGAGGGUAGUGGAAUUUCCUGUGUAGCGGUGAAAUGCGUAGAUAUAGGAAGGAACACCAGUGGCGAAGGCGACUACCUGGACUGAUACUGACACUGAGGUGCGAAAGCGUGGGGGAGCAAACAGGGG